Molecule: ribosomal RNA, 370 nt
Filed under: uncultured Propionigenium sp.
Lineage: Bacteria; Fusobacteriati; Fusobacteriota; Fusobacteriia; Fusobacteriales; Fusobacteriaceae
Description: bacterial SSU rRNA
Rfam family: Bacterial small subunit ribosomal RNA
Source: RNAcentral
GCAGUCGACUGGAAUUCACCUUCAGGUGAUAGUACGGUGGCGGACGGGUGAGUAACGCGUAAAGAACUUGCCCUCUAGACUGGGACAACUGUUGGAAACGACAGCGAUAUUAUGAGAUUCUCGCAUGGGAAACUUAUGAAAGGCUAUAUGCGCUAGAGGAGAGCUUUGCGUGCCAUUAGGUAGUUGGUAGGGUAAUGGCCUACCAAGCCGACGAUGGCUAGCCGGCCUGAGAGGGUGAUCGGCCACAAGGGGACUGAGACACGGCCCUUACUCUACGGGAGGCAGCAGUGGGGAAUAUUGGACAAUGGACCAAAAGUCUGAUCCAGCAAUUCUGUGUGCACGAUGAAGUUUCGGAUCGUAAAGUGCUUUC